RNAcentral lists this long non-coding RNA (3446 nucleotides) under Gossypium barbadense (sea-island cotton). RNAcentral describes it as "long non-coding RNA (GBAR_LNC014801)". Lineage: Eukaryota; Viridiplantae; Streptophyta; Magnoliopsida; Malvales; Malvaceae. The record is from RNAcentral.
UAUAGGGUUUUUAAGUCGCUUUGGUAUACAAAAGAGGAGGUGGACUUUGUAGCUUUAAAAGAAUGGGUCAUAAUUGUUAAGUUUGGUUGCCUGGAAGAUCGCAGUCGUAUCCUCAACCUCAUGCCCUGGCUUUUAUUCUCAAUGCUGCCAUUUGAGAAGGGAAAGAACAUAGACACUUAUGAAUUCUGGAUGUCGCCUUUUUGGUUAAGAGUCUACAACAUCCCUCUUGAACUCCUGGACCGUCAAAUGGCACUGGAUGUUGGGAAUGCUUUAGGUGAGAUUGUGGAAAUCGAUUGGAAGGAUAGAUAUGGAGGGUGGAUAGAGUUCAUGAGGCUAAAAGUCAAAAUCGAUGUGUCAAAACCUGAAGUAGUUGGGAAUCGAUAACAAAACUAAUCGAGAUAGAGUAAUCAUUCCUACCAAAGAAAACAAUUUUGCAUUCUAAUUAUCAAGUUCACGUCUAACUUUAUCAACAACAAAAUUGAAAGUAUUCUUGGUAACUCUUUUGUGAAACAGAGGCAAACCCAAGUAAGUACCCAAGUCAUCCGAAAGGCGAAAUCCAAGGAUAUUGCAUAUACUUGCAAGGUUGGCAGCAUCAAUAUUUUUAGAGAAAUAAAUAGUAGUUUUCUAUUCAUUAACUUUAUUUCCCCAAGCCUUACCAAAAGUACAUAGAGCUUCAUUGAUUUUGUGCGCCUGAUCAACCUCAGCUUCCGUAAACAUGAAUAAGUCAUCUGCAAAGAAAGGUGUGAAAUGGGCAGACCAUCCUUACCCAGUACAAUCAACCUCAGCUUCCGUAAACAUGAAUAAGUCAUCUGCAAAGAAAGGUGUGAAAUGGGCAGACCAUCCUUACCCAGUACAAUAGGUUUCUAAGAUUUUCUUGUGACUUCUCUAUGAAUUAAUUGGCCUAAUCUCUCCAUGCAGAGUACGAAGAUGUACGGAGAUAAAGGGCAUCCUUGCCUAAUACCCCUCUUAGGAACAAAGCCAGAAGAAAGCCUACCAUUCCACAUUAUUUGCAUUGAAACUGAAGAAAUACAGUCCAUGACGACUUUAAUCAAGGUCGAAGGAAAACCAACAUCAACCAAAGUGUCUUCAAUAAAUUCCCAGCAAAUUUUGUCAUAAACUUUUUCUAAAUCCACCUUUAUAACAAUCCAUAAUUUCUUCCCUUUCGUAGUCUGCAUGGAAUGUACAAUUUCUUGGGCAAUGAUAAUAUUGUUCAUAAUCUAUCUUCUUGCCACGAAACUCACUUGAUUUUGAGCAAUGAGGGAUGGAAAAAUAUGUCUGAACCGAUUGGAAAUUAUUUUGGUAACAACCUUAUACAAGACUUUACAAAGACUUAUUGGCUAGAAAUGAGAGAAAGAAGUAGGAUUCUUAAUCUUCGCUAUGAGAACCAAGAGCGUGCUACUAACAGAAGAGAUGGGAAUCUUACCGAAAAAAUCAGAACCCAAGAAUAAACAUCCGAUCCGAUCGUAUCUCACUGAAUUUGGUAGAAAAGAAAGUGAAAAGCAUCAAGGCUAGGAGCUUUUAAAGGACCCAUGCUAAACAAAACACUUCUAACUUCCUCUACAUUAACAAUCAAGGUUAAAGAGUCCAUAGUGCUACAGUCAACAUGCGAAAAGUGACCACAUAAAGGGAAAGCAACACAUGAUAAGUCAUCCAAUGAAAACAGAGAAGAGAAGAAACGAACUGCUUCAUCAUGCAAGCUCUCAUUAGCAUAACAAUAGUUAUCCCCAAUUUUCAAGACAGAAAUUUUAUUAGAAUUCCACCUUAUAAGAGCUUUAUUAUGGAAAAACUUGAUAUUAUGAUCCCCAAAAUGGACCCAAUCCGUCAUAGAUUUUUUGUUUCCAGAGUAAUUCUUCUUCAUCAAGAAUCUUUUCAUAAUCUAAAUGUAACUUUGAUUCAAGAUUCAGAAGGUACCUGGAACAUCAACGAUCUAAAGAGCCUGAACUUUACCAAUAUGGUGGGUAAUCAACCGUUUCUUUCUAAUAAUGUGGCAGAAAACCUCAAAAUUCCACUUUUUCAGGUUUGUGGUAAGAGAAGUGAGAUUACUGGUAAUAUCAAUAUCAUGUCUCCAAAUAUCAUAGAUGAAAUUGUUAAAAUCUGGAUGAGAAAUCCAAGAUGCAAGAAACUGAAAAGGUCUCGGAUAAAAAGCUUGACUGUGGCCAGAAAAAGUUAAGUAAAUAGGUCUGCGAUCAGAUUUGAGAUGAGGAAAAUGAAAGGCAGAAGAAGCUAAAUAAAGUCGACACCAUUUACUAUUACCAAUUUCUCAGUCUAAUCUUUCAAAGAUAGCCCCUCUUUUCCACGUGAACUGUGGACCUUUAAACCCAAGAUCCAUGAACCCAUUACUAUGGACAAAAUUAUGAAAUAAUUUGUACCCAGAAAAAAAAUAGGACGAGCUCCCCUUUUUUCAUUUGGAGACAAUACUAAAUUGAAGUCCUCCAACAAAACCCACGGCUCAGAAAUGGACUGAGCAAUAAUAUUCAAACGAUCCCAUAAAGUCUUACAUUUUUGUUUGUUCGGAUAACCAUAAACAAAGGUCACUAAAACACUUCUAGAUCCCCCUAUUUCCUCAAAUGACAUAGAGUAAAUUGUGGAUCAUUAAGCAUAAUUUGGAUCUGAAAAGUAUUUAUCCAACAAAUGCAUAAACCCCCAGCAUAACCUUUAGCUUCAAUUCUGUGAGAACAAUCCAAACCAAUUUUAGAAAUGAUUCUAUCAGCCUUCAAACAAUUGACUCGAGUUUCAAGAAAUGCCUCUACAUCAAUAUAAAAUUCAACAUAGUAAUCUCUAACCACCCUAACAAACUUAGGUGAUGCACACCCUUGACAGUUCCAUACAAAUAUAUGUGGUAACAUCUGAAAAAUCAUAAAGAGAAUGACAAACAUUAGUAGACCCACCUUAAACACCUAAGGUAGUCGUUUCAUUAGAACCCGGAGGUACCCCUUGAAAGUUAUUUUCCUCCGUAAUCAAGCCUUCUAAACUGAUCCUGUCAAUGAAUGUUGUUAUAGCUUCAGCAACAAAAUCAUGAUCGAUUACCUUCACCUUGAGUUUGUUGCCUUUAUCCUGAAGAUUGUGAGACCCAUUCUUAAACGUUUGAGGUCCCUAGAAAGCCCUAUAUUUCAUUUAUGUCACAAUUUUUCCAUGUAAAAUUUUUUGUUUUUCAAUUUAAUCCCUAUUUGACAAUUUCAUAAAAAAACCUCUUAACAAAAGUUGUUUAUAUAACAACAACUAUCCAUUUUAUUCCAUCAAACAUUAAAAAAAAAUAUAUUCAUUCAUGGAAAACUCUAAUCCUUUAGCAUUUUUACAAAUUAGUCGUUAGGCUAGCUAGAUUAAGCUACAAUGAUCCUAAAAACAUAGAAAUCAUUAAAAACGGGACAAAAAUCACUUACAAUCAAGCAAUGAGAAGUUGCCAAAAUUAAAAGCUCAAUAAUGGCUUCCCAAACCCUAAGAUUCAG